This 1286-nucleotide ribosomal RNA is filed under the name Escherichia coli. Its description in RNAcentral is "partial 23S ribosomal RNA". It matches the Rfam family "Bacterial large subunit ribosomal RNA", at positions 418 to 1704 of the family's 2925-position model. The record is from RNAcentral. Lineage: Bacteria; Pseudomonadati; Pseudomonadota; Gammaproteobacteria; Enterobacterales; Enterobacteriaceae.
CGGGACACGUGGUAUCCUGUCUGAAUAUGGGGGGACCAUCCUCCAAGGCUAAAUACUCCUGACUGACCGAUAGUGAACCAGUACCGUGAGGGAAAGGCGAAAAGAACCCCGGCGAGGGGAGUGAAAAAGAACCUGAAACCGUGUACGUACAAGCAGUGGGAGCACAGAGCAAUCUGUGUGACUGCGUACCUUUUGUAUAAUGGGUCAGCGACUUAUAUUCUGUAGCAAGGUUAACCGAAUAGGGGAGCCGAAGGGAAACCGAGUCUUAACUGGGCGUUAAGUUGCAGGGUAUAGACCCGAAACCCGGUGAUCUAGCCAUGGGCAGGUUGAAGGUUGGGUAACACUAACUGGAGGACCGAACCGACUAAUGUUGAAAAAUUAGCGGAUGACUUGUGGCUGGGGGUGAAAGGCCAAUCAAACCGGGAGAUAGCUGGUUCUCCCCGAAAGCUAUUUAGGUAGCGCCUCGUGAAUUCAUCUCCGGGGGUAGAGCACUGUUUCGGCAAGGGGGUCAUCCCGACUUACCAACCCGAUGCAAACUGCGAAUACCGGAGAAUGUUAUCACGGGAGACACACGGCGGGUGCUAACGUCCGUCGUGAAGAGGGAAACAACCCAGACCGCCAGCUAAGGUCCCAAAGUCAUGGUUAAGUGGGAAACGAUGUGGGAAGGCCCAGACAGCCAGGAUGUUGGCUUAGAAGCAGCCAUCAUUUAAAGAAAGCGUAAUAGCUCACUGGUCGAGUCGGCCUGCGCGGAAGAUGUAACGGGGCUAAACCAUGCACCGAAGCUGCGGCAGCGACGCUUAUGCGUUGUUGGGUAGGGGAGCGUUCUGUAAGCCUGCGAAGGUGUGCUGUGAGGCAUGCUGGAGGUAUCAGAAGUGCGAAUGCUGACAUAAGUAACGAUAAAGCGGGUGAAAAGCCCGCUCGCCGGAAGACCAAGGGUUCCUGUCCAACGUUAAUCGGGGCAGGGUGAGUCGACCCCUAAGGCGAGGCCGAAAGGCGUAGUCGAUGGGAAACAGGUUAAUAUUCCUGUACUUGGUGUUACUGCGAAGGGGGGACGGAGAAGGCUAUGUUGGCCGGGCGACGGUUGUCCCGGUUUAAGCGUGUAGGCUGGUUUUCCAGGCAAAUCCGGAAAAUCAAGGCUGAGGCGUGAUGACGAGGCACUACGGUGCUGAAGCAACAAAUGCCCUGCUUCCAGGAAAAGCCUCUAAGCAUCAGGUAACAUCAAAUCGUACCCCAAACCGACACAGGUGGUCAGGUAGAGAAUACCAAGGCGCUUGAGAGAACUCGGG